RNAcentral lists this ribosomal RNA (1432 nucleotides) under uncultured bacterium. RNAcentral's name for it is "bacterial SSU rRNA". It matches the Rfam family "Bacterial small subunit ribosomal RNA". The record is from RNAcentral.
GACAAACGCUGGCGGCGUGCCUAACACAUGCAAGUCGAACGAGUGUAGCAAUACACGAGUGGCGGACGGGUGAGUAACGCGCGAGCAAUCUGCCUCUGUCAGCGGGAUAACACAUUGAAAAGUGUGCUAAUACCGCAUAACGUCAAUUAAAGACAUCUUUGAUUGACCAAAGAUUUUAUCGGACAGAGAUGAGCUCACGUCCCAUUAGGUAGUUGGUGAGGUAAAGGCCCACCAAUCCUGCGAUGGGUAGCCGACCUGAGAGGGUAAUCGGCCACAUUGGAACUGAGAAACGGUCCAGACUCCUACGGGAGGCAGCAGUGGGGAAUAUUGGGCAAUGGAGGCAACUCUGACCCAGCAACGCCGCGUGAAUGAUGAAGGUCUUCGGAUUGUAAAGUUCUGUGAUGGGGAACGAAGAAAGUGACGGUACCCCAAGAGCAAGCUACGGCUAACUACGUGCCAGCAGCCGCGGUAAUACGUAGGUAGCAAGCGUUGUCCGGAAUGACUGGGCGUAAAGGGUGCGUAGGUGGUUAUGCAAGUUGGUGGUGAAAUUCCGGGGCUCAACUCCGGCGCUACCACCAAAACUGUGUAACUUGAGUACAGGAGGGGUAAGCGGAAUUCCUAGUGUAGCGGUGAAAUGCGUAGAUAUUAGGAAGAACACCGGUGGCGAAAGCGGCUUACUGGCCUGCAACUGACACUGAAGCACGAAAGCGUGGGGAGCAAACAGGAUUAGAUACCCUGGUAGUCCACGCCGUAAACGAUGAUUACUAGGUAUGGGAGGUAUCGACUCCUUCCGUGCCGGAGCUAACGCAAUAAGUAAUCCGCCUGGGGAGUACGGCCGCAAGGUUGAAACUCAAAGAAAUUGACGGGGACCCGCACAAGCAGCGGAGCAUGUGGUUUAAUUCGACGCAACGCGAAAAACCUUACCAGGUCUUGACAUCCUUUGACCGCCUGAGAGAUCAGGAAUCUCUAGCAAUAGAGCAAAGAGACAGGUGGUGCAUGGUUGUCGUCAGCUCGUGUCGUGAGAUGUUCGGUUAAGUCCGACAACGAGCGCAACCCUUGUAUACAGUUGCCAAUAUUAAGUUAGGAACUCUGUAUAAACUGCCGUGGCUAACACGGAGGAAGGUGGGGAUGACGUCAAAUCAUCACGCCCCUUACGACCUGGGCCACACACGUGCUACAAUGGCUAUUACAAAGAGCAGCGAAACCGUAAGGCGGAGCCAAUCUCAAAAAAAUAGUCUCAGUUCAGAUUGUGGGCUGCAACUCGCCCACAUGAAGUCGGAGUUGCUAGUAAUCCCGGAUCAGCAUGCCGGGGUGAAUGCGUUCCCGGGUCUUGUACACACCGCCCGUCACGCCAUGGGAGUUUGGAGUACCCAAAGUCAACAGCCUAACCGCAAGGAGGGAGUUGCCCAAGGUAAUACAAAUGACUGGGGUG